RNAcentral lists this transfer RNA (84 nucleotides) under Microthrixaceae bacterium. RNAcentral's name for it is "tRNA-Leu". It matches the Rfam family "tRNA". Rfam says of the family: Transfer RNA (tRNA) molecules are approximately 80 nucleotides in length. Their secondary structure includes four short double-helical elements and three loops (D, anti-codon, and T loops). Lineage: Bacteria; Bacillati; Actinomycetota; Acidimicrobiia; Acidimicrobiales; Microthrixaceae. The record is from RNAcentral.
GCGGACGUGGCGGAACUGGCAGACGCGCCGGGUUUAGGUCCCGGUGCCCCUAGGGGCUUGGGGGUUCGACUCCCCCCGUCCGCA